Solea senegalensis (Senegalese sole) is the source of this 640-nucleotide long non-coding RNA. RefSeq lists it as uncharacterized. The record is from RefSeq and is a predicted model, not a curated record. Lineage: Eukaryota; Metazoa; Chordata; Actinopteri; Pleuronectiformes; Soleidae. The transcript has 5 exons.
UGUCUCAAUGCAGGUGUCCUGCAGAGUCAGGAGUCAGCCGACCUGUGGACGUCUCUGUGGACGUCUCUGUGGACGGUCCUGACUGUAACAACAACAGGACAGUGGGCGGAGUCAACGGAGGAGAUAAAAAGAGGAAGGAAAGGUGGAGACAGACGAGGAGAAAGGAGACAGAAGAAGAAGAAGAGAAGGAACAAUGAAGUGAUAAGUGUCACUGAUAAACACUGAGAGGAGGACGAGAAUAAAAGAAGAACACAGAGAGAAUAAAGAGACGAGUGAUGAACGCGGCGAGAAUCCACGACAAGCAGAAGUUGAAGUCGUUCUGGGAGAAGAGGAUUGUUCAGCACACUGAGCACAUGGACGACGACGAGAAGCUGAGGGGACGCAGCGCUCUGUCACGACUGAGAGAGCAGUGGACGAUCAGAUUGGACCAGAGGAACCGACACCAGCAGAGUUUCUUUGAGGAGAGAAUCAGACGAGCUGAAAUAGCCCAGCAGACUCUCAGGAGACUUCACUCAGCCUGAAAACCAGCGCUGGUUCUAUUCUGCAGCAGAUGCAUUUUUAAAAAAAAAAAACAUUUUGUUACAUUUUAUUUUACUUUGAACAGUAACUAUUAAGUAAGCUAUUUACAGUUGAAUAAAGA